Long non-coding RNA from Xiphophorus couchianus (Monterrey platyfish), 550 nucleotides. RefSeq lists it as uncharacterized. The transcript has 3 exons. NCBI's taxonomy places the organism in Eukaryota, Metazoa, Chordata, Actinopteri, Cyprinodontiformes, Poeciliidae. The record is from RefSeq and is a predicted model, not a curated record.
UGCAAACAAUGACUUAAGAUCACCGUGCAAACAGUGACUGAAAACACGGCCGACCUCACCUGCCGAGGUCAAACCGCACGGCGAGCGCGUCAGCCAGGCUGCGGUCGGGCAUGGCAGGUGCUGCCGCCUGCAUGCAUGAAGAAAAGAAGAUGAGCUAACAGAGAGUCGGGCUGUGUCACUGGCACCAAGCCUGAUGCGUCUGAUAAGGCCGACAGGAACACUUCGGUUACCAAGAGGCCAGGUCAAGUGAAACCAAGAUGUCAAGGCACAACGUCCAUCAGGAGGAGUGGGGCGGCGAUCGUGUCAAGCUGUCAUGCAAGCCGAAGAGGGGGCAGCGGCUGGACAGAGGGGUUCAGGAAGAAGCGCCUUGCGGGUCACCAGACACCGGUCCACGGACCCAGAGGUGUCGCAGCGUUCGUGAGAAGACUGAAAGCCAUCUGAGGUUUUAAGACUACAGCAAAGCCACAAAUAAGAAAUGUGCAUCCAAUUAGAGACAUUUUAUCCAGCGGAAGCUGCGCCUGCAUCUUCAGGAAACACUCACUUGAGGGCG